This 352-nucleotide unclassified non-coding RNA is filed under the name soil metagenome. Its description in RNAcentral is "partial contains 5.8S ribosomal RNA, internal transcribed spacer 2, and large subunit ribosomal RNA". The stretch from base 1 to 120 matches the Rfam family "5.8S ribosomal RNA", at positions 35 to 154 of the family's 154-position model. The record is from RNAcentral.
GAUGAAGAACGUAGCGAAAUGCGAUAAGUAAUGUGAAUUGCAGAAUUCAGUGAAUCAUCGAAUCUUUGAACGCACAUUGCGCCCGCCAGUAUUCUGGCCGGCAUGCCUGUUCGAGCGUCAUUACAACCCUCAGGCCCCCGGGCCUGGCGUUGGGGAUCGGCGGAGCCCCCCGUGGGCACACGCCGUCCCCCAAAUGCAGUGGCGGUCCCGCCGCAGCUUCCAUCGCGUAGUAGCUAACACCUCGCGACUGGAGAGCGGCGCGGCCACGCCGUAAAACACCCAACUCUUCUGAAGUUGACCUCGAAUCAGGUAGGAAUACCCGCUGAACUUAAGCAUAUCAAUAAGCGGAGGA